GUCCGGAAUUAUUGGGCGUAAAGAGCUCGUAGGCGGUUUGUCACGUCUGCUGUGAAAUUCCGAGGCUCAACCUCGGACUUGCAGUGGGUACGGGCAGGCUAGAGUGCGGUAGGGGAGAUGGGAAUUCCUGGUGUAGCGGUGGAAUGCGCAGAUAUCAGGAGGAACACCAAUGGCGAAGGCACAUCUCUGGGCCGUAACUGACGCUGAGGAGCGAAAGCGUGGGGAGCGAACAGGAUUAGAUACCCUGGUAGUCCACGCCGUAAACGGUGGGUGCUAGCUGUGGGCCACAUUCCACGUGGUCCGUGACGAAGUUAACACAUUAAGCACCCCGCCUGGGGAGUACGGCCGCAAGGCUAAAACUCAAAGGAAUUGACGGGGGCCCGCACAAGCGGCGGAGCAUGCGGAUUAAUUCGAUGCAACGCGAAGAACCUUACCAAGGCUUGACAUAUAGAGGAAAAGUGCAGAAAUGUACUCCCCGCAAGGUCUCUAUACAGGUGGUGCAUGGUUGUCGUCAGCUCGUGUCGUGAGAUGUUGGGUUAAGUCCCGCAACGAGCGCAACCCUCGUCCUAUGUUGCCAGCACGUAAUGGUGGGAACUCAUGGGAUACUGCCGGGGUCAACUCGGAGGAAGGUGGGGAUGACGUCAAAUCAUCAUGCCCCUUAUGUCUUGGGCUUCACGCAUGCUACAAUGGCCGGUACAGAGGGCUGCAAUACCGUAAGGUGGAGCGAAUCCCAAAAAGCCGGUCUCAGUUCGGAUUGAGGUCUGCAACUCGACCUCAUGAAGUCGGAGUCGCUAGUAAUCGUAGAUCAGCAACGCUACGGUGAAUACGUUCCCGGGCCUUGUACACACCGCCCGUCAAGUCACGAAAGUCGGUAACACCCGAAGCCGGUGGCCUAACCGUAAGGAGGGAGCCGUCGAAGGUGGGAUUGGUGAUUGGGACUAAGUCGUAACAAGGUAGCC
Molecule: ribosomal RNA, 959 nt
Filed under: uncultured Actinomycetes bacterium
Lineage: Bacteria; Bacillati; Actinomycetota; Actinomycetes
Description: bacterial SSU rRNA
Rfam family: Bacterial small subunit ribosomal RNA
Source: RNAcentral